This is a long non-coding RNA of Asparagus officinalis (garden asparagus), 843 nucleotides long. RefSeq lists it as uncharacterized. The record is from RefSeq and is a predicted model, not a curated record. NCBI's taxonomy places the organism in Eukaryota, Viridiplantae, Streptophyta, Magnoliopsida, Asparagales, Asparagaceae. The transcript is spliced from 3 exons.
ACAGACAGUAGGAAAGACAGUCUCCAAUUGUUUUGUGGAUGCAGGAGAUUAUAAGGGAAUCAUUGCUCAUAAUAUCAUCGAGCCAAGGCUUUUCUCACCAAAACUGUGUAGGUUAUGCAUCUUGAAUCAAAGUCAAGUGACCUGCAAGGACUGAAAGUUUUUACCAUCGCAAGAAACCUGAUUUCAAUCCAAUAUAUGGAGGCGGGGCCAUUGACGUAUGAGGUCCUUUAUGACCAACCUCGACAUCGAUCCGCGAAGAUUGACACUGGGGAGGCCCCGAGCAUUACUAUCGUUGAUCACACUCGUGCACGCUCGAGCUAAGAGUUGACCGAUCCACAUGUCCAAUAUUAUGUCCGUCAAGCAUGCUUCUUUGAGUGCUCACAAAUUAAAUGGGUGAGACUUGAUUAGGCUCUCUUGACGACACUGGUUGAACGAUGGAGGCCCGAGACAAACACAUUCCACCUGCGCCAAGGAGAGUCGACGAUUACAUUGCAGGAUGUUGGGGUUUUGCUUGGACUCCGAGUGGAUGGAGAUGCUGUCACAGGUAGUGGCGACUUCAACUGGUCAGACAAGUGUGGAGCAUUGUUGGGUCAAGUUCCUCACAUGAGGGGUGGAAGGAUCAAACUUGAAUGGUUGAGAAACAGUUUUAUGAAUGUUCCUAUAGAUACGACUGAGGAGAUCGUCAAGAUGUAUGCCCGUGCAUACAUACUUCACAUGAUCGGUACUAUUCUAUUCUCGGAUUCCACGAAGGAUUCGGUGCACGUGAGGUGGUUGCCACUCCUGGAGGAUCUUGUGGAUUGUGAGGGAUUGUCAUGGGGGAGUGCCGUGUUAGCGUAUCUGUAU